Molecule: long non-coding RNA, 2176 nt
Organism: Myotis brandtii (Brandt's bat)
Lineage: Eukaryota; Metazoa; Chordata; Mammalia; Chiroptera; Vespertilionidae
Exons: 2
Source: RefSeq, a predicted model, not a curated record
GGACCCUUCAAUCUGCAGGCUGACGCUCUAUCCACUGAGCCAAACCGGUUAGGGCUUCACUUGGCUUCUUGUAUGUUAUACUUUCCUGGUUUUCCUGCUACUCUUUUUCAAUCUCCUUUCCUUCAUGCCUCCACCUCUCCCUCUCCUCUAAAUACUCUUUUGCACCAGAGAUUAGCUCUUGCCCCUCUUCUCUUCUGUAUCUACACAAUCUAGCAGAUAUCAACCAGAAUCAUGGCUUUAAAUAUCUAUAUGUUCAUGACUCAUUUAUCUUUAGACCUAAUCUCUCUCCCUGAAUUCCAGACAUGUAUAUUCAACUACCUACCAGACCUCUCCACCCCAAUAUCUAAUAGAUAUGUUAAAUACAAUAUGCCCAAAAUGGGAAUCUUGACCUUUCUCUACCCUCUCCUCCCCAAAUAUGCUCCUCCCACAGGUUUCCCCAUCUUAGUGAAUGGUGUCACCAUUCUCCAGCUCUUCAGGUCCCAAGCAGAGCACUCAUCCUUGUACCCUUUCAUUGCACAGACAAAUUCAUCAGUCAACACAUCUCACUGCAGUGCAUGCCAAUGCUACAAAGAAGAAUAAACAGGGUGUGGGGAUAGAAUGUACCAGAAGGCAGGGAAGGUUGGAGGCAUUAUUUGUUAAUCAUGGUCAAGGAUAGACUCUGAGAAAGUGACAUUAAAGCAAAGAUUUUCCUGAAACAGAAAGGCACAAGCUCCUGCAGGAUCUGAGAAGAAAGCACUCGAGCCAAGGACAAAGCAAGUGCGCAGGUCAUGAGGUCAGGAACGUGGCAUGUCUGAGGAGGACAGCAAGUUUUGAGUGCCUGAGCAGACGGAAGAGUGACAACCAUCAACAGGGGCCAGACUAUGAAGGAUCUUGUCAGCCGGGGUUGGCCUGAUGCUUGUGUUUCAUUCUAAUUGUUAUGGGAAAGUAAUGGACAGUUUUCAGCAGGAGACGAUCAUGAUCUGAUAUAUGUUUUAUAGGUAAUGCUGGCUCCGUGGUGGAAAUGAAUUGUAAGAGACCAAGAGAAGAACAGUAAGAAUAUAACACAAAAAUGACCAUCUGUAAACUAAGAAGAGGUCCUUCACCAAGCACCCAUCAAUGCUGGCAUCCUAAUCUUGACCUUCCCAGCAUCCCAGCAUCCAGAACUGUGAGAAAUACAUGUCUAUGGCAUUUUUGUUAGAGCAGCCUGAGCUGACUAAGACAGGCUAGGGAGUAAAUCUUUUAGGCUUUGCUGCCAUAAGGUCUCUGUCACAACCACUGAAUCUGGCUGUUGCAGUGCUAAUUCAGUCACAGCCAAUCUGUAAAUUAGUGCACGUGUCUAUGUGCCAAGAACACUUAUUAACAGGCCCUGGGCUGGAUUUGGCUUGUGGGUCAUAGUUUGCAGACUUCUGUUCUAAACCCGAAAUGCUGACGGAUUGGCCUAGGCCUAUCAUAUGGGCAUAGUUUUAGAGGUUACUCUGGACAGUUACUCUUGCUGUUGAUGGAUUAAAUGUGGGAGCAAAUACACUUCUUUGAGAUUCACUUUUUAAUUAUUCCAGUGUGUCACACGGCUUCUACAGGCGUUUCUUUCUUUUUCUUUUUUUGUCAUUCCUCAGACGAUACUAACAUUUAUAUUUCUAUGAGAGUAAAAUAAGAUAGUUAUUCAUGGAAAAAGAAAUACUGAUCUCACUUAGUGGGAAAUAAGCUAAACUCUACCCAGAGGGCACUGAUUUUAUGUGGAAGCAAAAUAUUCUCCUCCAAACUAACCUCCUAACCCCAUGAUACUCAGCUCACUAAUGUGUGUGUGUGUGUGUGUGUGUGUGUGUGUGUGUGUGUGAGUAUGUUUGUGUGUGUGAUGAGUGUGUCCUCUCCAAUGGGGAGGAGUCUUUUACCACUGAAGUUGUUUAGAAUUGCCAGUACAAGAUGCCAAUAAAAAGACCAACCGUUCAUUGCUUUCUUGAUUGCUUUUACAUUCUCUACCUUCAAUUUACCAUGGUAUUGCCUGUGUCCAGGGCACACACACCCACCGCCCCACUCCCGUGGCACAUUAUUGUCCGAUUGGUCCCAAGGAAACAGUGAAGGCCCUGGGCUAAUCCUUCUGCAUGAAAACGAUGAGACACAGAUACUUUAGUCCUAACUCAACCAAACGUUUUAUGUGUGAUAUUGAGAACAACCUCCCAUGAAGAAAAAGAAAAAGGAG